Camellia sinensis is the source of this 1478-nucleotide non-coding RNA. Lineage: Eukaryota; Viridiplantae; Streptophyta; Magnoliopsida; Ericales; Theaceae. The record is from RefSeq and is a predicted model, not a curated record.
GUAAGCAGAGCUAGGGCAGUUUCGAAAUCGGUGAUAUAAGCAGUCUGAGAGUUCACAGAAGGCGGUUAGGGCGUAAACGAAAGAAACUUGCCGAAGAAGAGGGCUUUCCUUCUUCGACCAUAAAACCCUAAUCUUAUCUUCAUUCCAACAACCAAAAGAAGGAAGACAUGGAUCGGUACCAGAGGGUCGAGAAGCCAAGAGCCGAAACACCGAUUGACGAGAAUGAAAUUCGGAUUACGAGUCAAGGAAGGAUGCGAAGCUAUAUCUCUUAUGCUAUGAGUCUACUUCAGGAAAAAGGUUCGACCGAGGUUGUGUUCAAGGCAAUGGGUAGAGCUAUCAACAAAACUGUAACAAUUGUGGAGUUAAUUAAGAGGAGGAUUGUUGGUCUUCAUCAAAUUACAUCAAUUGGAUCUACUGAUAUAACUGAUACAUGGGAGCCCCUGGAAGAAGGACUCCUCCCUCUGGAAACCACAAGGCAUGUUUCAAUGAUUACAAUCUCUCUCUCAAAGGAGGAGUUGAAUACAUCCUCCGUUGGGUACCAGUCUCCACUACCAGCUGACCAGGUCAAGACAUCAACCGAAUUUGAUUUUGAAGGAGAAGGAUCACCUACUGGUCGUGGAAGGGGCCGUGGUGGUAGAGGGAGGGGAAGGUCUAGAGCAGCGUAUGGGAAUGGAUAUGCAGCUCCUGAGUAUGAGGAUGGAGGUUGGGAUAGGAAUCGUGGUUAUGCGAGGGGCAGGGGUCGAGGAAGAGGUCGUAACUUCCGUGGCCGUGGAAGAGGAGGGUACAAUGGUCCUCAGAUUGAUAACCAGCAAGAUGCAGGACAUUACAACCAGGAAGGUCCUGCUCCAGGCCGUGGGAUGUUCACGGGUCAGUUUGGAUCGGGUUUACCCUAAGACCGUCAACCAAACCGAAUGUGUCAGGUUAGAGAAAUUGCCACCUACUGCCGGCCGUCAGCAUAUUCAAAAUUGACCGUGGCCCACCAUUCAGAUUGGUCGUUGGUUCGGUCGGCGAGACAUGAAAAGAAAUCAAUCCACUUCCCACUCUUUCUCAGGUCGUGGCCAUGGGAGGGGAUACCGUGGAAGGGGUCGUGGUUUUCGAUCUAAUGGGCUGAUACAUGCAGCUGUUGCUGUUGGAGGCGCUUGACUGGUCACCUCUGGACACAACACAAUGCAGCGUUUCGACUUUAUGAUGUGUUUGGAUGCUUGCUCCAUAUCUCUAUCUGUGUUUACCUUUUUUCUUUCCUUACUAAUUUCAGUUGAAGGAAGUAGGAAGAUGUACACUAAUUUCGCUGAGUAUGCAACUGCAGCUCCGCAUUUGGUAGCCUUUUUCAUUUUACAUUUUUAAUAAUCUUUUUAAAAUUUUCGUAGAGGUUGGUGGAUGUCUGAAUUAGUGUAAUUGGUUUUGUCAAGUGAGAACCACAUUCUUUUAUUUGUGAAGUUUUUGAAAUUAAUCUGUCACCAAGUUUUGCAUUUUAUGAA